UUAUUGGAGAGUUUGAUCCUGGCUCAGGAUGAACGCUGGCGGCGUGCCUAAUACAUGCAAGUCGAGCGAAUGGAUUGAGAGCUUGCUCUCAUGAAGUUAGCGGCGGACGGGUGAGUAACACGUGGGUAACCUGCCCAUAAGACUGGGAUAACUCCGGGAAACCGGGGCUAAUACCGGAUAACAUUUUGAACUGCAUGGUUCGAAAUUGAAAGGCGGCUUCGGCUGUCACUUAUGGAUGGACCCGCGUCGCAUUAGCUAGUUGGUGAGGUAACGGCUCACCAAGGCAACGAUGCGUAGCCGACCUGAGAGGGUGAUCGGCCACACUGGGACUGAGACA
This 337-nucleotide ribosomal RNA is filed under the name Xenorhabdus doucetiae. Its description in RNAcentral is "bacterial SSU rRNA". It matches the Rfam family "Bacterial small subunit ribosomal RNA", at positions 1 to 326 of the family's 1533-position model. The record is from RNAcentral. Lineage: Bacteria; Pseudomonadati; Pseudomonadota; Gammaproteobacteria; Enterobacterales; Morganellaceae.